CGAAAAUAUUCAGAAGGAACACGAGCAUAAGACAAAAGAGGGUACAUUUUGCAUUGCCUUUGGCGAGAGCUGCAGUUUGUGUGAAUAGUGAUGCAAAAUUGGAUAACUUUCUACUUGACAAUUAUGGAAAGGGCCCAUCAACUUUUACCCCAUUUGAAACUAAAGUCUGUGUUCAUUGUUCCAGCAUCAACAGUUGGAAGUUACACUGUUUCAAACAGCCUCAUACCUCACUGCAAAGCUUGUCUGCAACUAGAUAGACUCCAUUUGUGGUAACAAAGAGAGCCUCCUGAUAUCCCUGUUCGAGGGCCACUGCAAUGCUUGCCUCUUCAAACUCCCGGUGCCACUCCCAGCCUGACUGAUGCCUCCCCUGAAUACAAGAUGAACAGCCCCAGCAUCUGUAACCUCCUCUGUCACAGGGAUCAUCAAGAUACACGUCUGAAGGCACGUGUGAUGAAUACGACCAGCCAGUUCCUCUGUAUGACCACAAGACAGGGUCUUUAGAGUAGAGAGACUUGUUUACACCCCACACAAUCGACGGCCAUAUAAAAUAGAGCUAACGGACUACUGACUCCUGUUGUCAUCUAUUCAAGAUGACGGUACAGCUAACAACGCUUCUCCUCCGGGGUUUUCAGACACCAUGAAGGUGUUAUUUACUGAGCACCAAAGUUAUUACAAUUCCCAGUACUGGAGAGUAAAAUGUUGGUUGUCAUCGUCCGACUUCAAACCCGUUACACUGCAUUACAAGAAUGUUUUAAUGGCAAAUUGGAUAAAUGCAAGUAAUGCUUCAAGAGUUUCAAGUGUUUUGUGUGAUUGGUUGCUGUGACGCAGAUUUCCUUACACUGCUUACUUCCUGAUCAGAUGGUGGAAGCUCUAGUUCACAUAUGGUCACAUUCUGGUUACACAUUUUGUAAGGCUGUUGUUGAUCUGGCAGGACUCCGUCCACAGCCUGACUCUGAUGUAAUAAAGUUG
This is a long non-coding RNA of Esox lucius (northern pike), 969 nucleotides long. Lineage: Eukaryota; Metazoa; Chordata; Actinopteri; Esociformes; Esocidae. The record is from Ensembl.